Molecule: unclassified non-coding RNA, 235 nt
Filed under: Hevea brasiliensis (rubber tree)
Lineage: Eukaryota; Viridiplantae; Streptophyta; Magnoliopsida; Malpighiales; Euphorbiaceae
Source: RNAcentral
AGUUUGAGUGUUGAUGGAAGAAGGAUUCUGCAGGUUUUCGACUUAGGAAUUCUUGAAAUUCCCAGGUUCUCGACAACCCAAAUAUGCAGUUUCUCAGAAAAUUUGAAAAUUUUCCAGAUUCGGCAACUAAAGCCCAAGACUCCAGUAGUCGAACUUAAUUCUACCCACUUUAUUUCUCCUUCGAUUCCAAGGUUCCAAAGCUAAUUUCAUUGUUCCUAAGGGCCUAGAAUAAGAU